Molecule: small RNA, 127 nt
Filed under: Escherichia coli
Lineage: Bacteria; Pseudomonadati; Pseudomonadota; Gammaproteobacteria; Enterobacterales; Enterobacteriaceae
Description: partial RtT sRNA
Rfam family: RtT RNA
About the family: This family represents a bacterial cis-regulatory element known as RtT RNA. The exact function of RtT is unknown although it is thought that it may be involved in changing the cellular response in relation to amino acid starvation.
Source: RNAcentral
GUUUGCACUCAUCGGGGAAGGGUGAGAACCUUCGACUAAGGUUCGAUUCGAGCGAAAGCGAGAGAACGUUGCCACAGGCAACGGCCCGAAGGGUGAGGAGCGAAGCGACGAAUAAUCCUUCCCCCAC